CGUCUCAAGUCUGAGUGAACAGAUCUUUGGCUUUGCCUUUGCUGGUGACCUGCUGCAGAAGAUCCUCUCUCUCUAUCAUUAUAAGCAAUUCUGUCUAUCCUAUCACUCUCCCAACUCUAAUUUGACAGCCAUUCUAUCUUGUAUCCCUCUAUCUCUACUGCUCUAUCUAAUUUGACAGCCAUUCUAUCUUGUAUCCCUCUAUCUCUACUGCUCUAUCUAAUUUGACAGCCAUUCUAUCUUGUAUCCCUCUAUCCCAAGCACUCUAUCUAAUUUCAGAAUCCAAGUUUUCAGAAUCCAAGUUUUCAGAAUCCCAAGUUACCAGUACUUGAUCUAUCUGUUACAGAAUUCUGAGAGAUCUCUGCUCUUACUGCUCCUUCUUUCCUGUCAUUAAACUCUCACAUUCAGUCAUUUUGUUGAAAAUUACAAGUAGAAAGUUGAAUAUACAGUAGUAGAAUUACAGUACAGUAGAACUUAUAGUAGAAACUACUUAAACAGCCCUACAUUUGUCAUUUUAAUUUUGCAUUAGACUUUGGAAUUAACACUGCUACUUUGGCUUACUUUGAUCAAUUACAUAAAAUAUCACCUUUUUAGAAGUUUAUUUGUAAUAAGAUAAUCUGGUUAUUUUGUAAUACAUACAUUCAGAUAAAUAUUAAAUUAGAUCCAAAUACAUUUUGCUAGUCUGUUUCAUUGGCUAUAACAUUUGACUGCAAGUUUAUAGUAUUAUUAUUUAAGGACAAACCCAUUUUGUCACUCAGUGUAAGUAUUCAGUUAGUAUUGUCAUCAAGAAGCGCCUGAGGACCCAGACUGUUUCCUGACUGCUGCAGAACAUCCAGCUGAAGAAUCCUCAUCGCCUGUCAUCUUAUCACCACGCCACCAAAGCUCCAUAUAUUUGAUUUCAAUUUUAGAUAUCUGAAAGAUUUACAUAAACUCCCCUAAGAGCUAAGACUUUUAUUAUAGCCUGUUGAUUGUGGAGAUUUAUUCUGCAUAUCAAUUUACAGAAGUUGUAAUUAUUUACCAGUCUGGUUAAAAAAAAAAAAUAUAAGAAGUAAAAUUGUACAGUUUCUAAAAGAGCUACAAUAAAACGGACCAAAUUGUUUCCAGAGAA
This is a long non-coding RNA of Oreochromis niloticus (Nile tilapia), 1105 nucleotides long. RefSeq lists it as uncharacterized. Lineage: Eukaryota; Metazoa; Chordata; Actinopteri; Cichliformes; Cichlidae. The transcript is spliced from 3 exons. The record is from RefSeq and is a predicted model, not a curated record.